CCAGGAGGUUGGCUUAGAAGCAGCCAUCCUUGAAAGAGUGCGUAAUAGCUCACUGGUCGAGUGGUUCUGCGCCGAUAAUGUAGCGGGGCUUAAGUACACCGCCGAAACCGCGGCAACACGCGUAAAGUGUGUUGGGUAGGGGAGCGUCGUGCAUGUGUUGAAGCUAGCUGGUGACAGGUGGUGGAGUGUGUGCGAGUGAGAAUGCAGGCAUGAGUAACGAUUGAUGUGUGAGAAACAUAUCCGCCGGAUGACUAAGGGUUCCUGGGUGAAGUUUGUCUUCCCAGGGUGAGUCGGGGCCUAAGGCGAGGCCGACAGGCGUAGUCGAUGGAUGACGGGUUGAUAUUCCCGUACCCGUGUGCGUGCGACAAGUGAUGAAUCUUAUGGUACUAACCGCCCGCCUGCGUGCACUGGUCUUUUUGGUUGGUGUGUGUGGGUGCGUGGGAUCUUCGUGGGUAGUAGUCAAGUGAUGGGGUGACGCAGAGUGGUAGCUAGGCUUCCUUAUUGGAUUGGAGUGCAAGCGUGUGGCCUGUGGGGUUGGGAAAUCCGCCCCGCAUUAAGGGUGAGGCGUGAUGCGGACACCAUGUUGUGGUGGUAGUUAGUGUGCCUGUGCUGUCUAGAAAAGCCUCUAGCGAGUGCGUGCAUGGCCCGUACCGGAAACCGACACAGGUGGUCAGGUAGAGAAUACUAAGGCGUUCGGGUGAACUGUGGUUAAGGAACUCGGCAAAAUGCCCCCGUAACUUCGGGAGAAGGGGGACCAUUACUGGUUGCUGACAGCAUUAUUGGCUGGUGGUGGUCGCAGAGGAGAGAGGGAAGCGACUGUUUAUUAAAAACACAGGUCCGUGCGAAAACGUGGAAGUUGAGGUAUACGGACUGACGCCUGCCCGGUGCUGGAAGGUUAAGAGGACCCGUGAGCACAUUUUGUGUGUGCGAGGCGGAGAAUUGAAGCCCCAGUAAACGGCGGUGGUAACUAUAACCAUCCUAAGGUAGCGAAAUUCCUUGUCGGGUAAGUUCCGACCUGCACGAAUGGCGUAACGACUUCCCUGCUGUCUCAACCACAGGCCCGGUGAAAUUGCAGUACGAGUAAAGAUGCUCGUUUCGCGCGGCAGGACGAAAAGACCCCGGGACCUUUACUAUAGCUUGGUAUUGGUGUUUGGUCAUGCUUGUGUAGGAUAGGUGGGAGACUGUGAAGCCGCAACGCUAGUUGUGGUGGAGUCGCAGGUGAAAUACCACUCUGGUGUGAUUGGGUACCUGAACCUUGGCCCGUGAUCCGGGUUGGGGACAGUGCCUGGUGGGUAGUUUAACUGGGGCGGUUGCCUCCUAAAUGGUAACGGAGGCGCCCAAAGGUUUCCUCAGUCUGGUUGGCAAUCAGAUGGUGAGUGUAAGUGUAUAAGGGAGCUUGACUGUGACACUGACGGGUGGAGCAGGUGCGAAAGCAGGGACUAGUGAUCCGGCACCGACGUGUGGUUGUGGUGUCGCUCAACGGAUAAAAGGUACCCCGGGGAUAACAGGCUGAUCUUCCCCAAGAGUUCAUAUCGACGGGAUGGUUUGGCACCUCGAUGUCGGCUCGUCGCAUCCUGGGGCUGGAGUAGGUCCCAAGGGUUGGGCUGUUCGCCCAUUAAAGCGGCACGCGAGCUGGGUUUAGAACGUCGUGAGACAGUUCGGUCUCUAUCCGCCGCGCGCGU
RNAcentral lists this ribosomal RNA (1682 nucleotides) under human metagenome. RNAcentral's name for it is "bacterial LSU rRNA". It matches the Rfam family "Bacterial large subunit ribosomal RNA", at positions 1093 to 2654 of the family's 2925-position model. The record is from RNAcentral.